Molecule: ribosomal RNA, 429 nt
Filed under: Chloroflexota bacterium
Lineage: Bacteria; Bacillati; Chloroflexota
Description: Chloroflexi bacterium partial 16S ribosomal RNA
Rfam family: Bacterial small subunit ribosomal RNA
Source: RNAcentral
UAGGGAAUCUUCGGCAAUGGACGAAAGUCUGACCGAGCAACGCCGCGUGAGUGAAGAAGGUUUUCGGAUCGUAAAACUCUGUUGUUAGAGAAGAACAAGGACGUUAGUAACUGAACGUCCCCUGACGGUAUCUAACCAGAAAGCCACGGCUAACUACGUGCCAGCAGCCGCGGUAAUACGUAGGUGGCAAGCGUUGUCCGGAUUUAUUGGGGGUAAAGCGAGCGCAGGCGGGUUCUUAAGUCUGAUGUGAAAGCCCCCGGCUCAACCGGGGAGGGUCAUUGGAAACUGGGAGACUUGAGUGCAGAAGAGGAGAGUGGAAUUCCAUGUGUAGCGGUGAAAUGCGUAGAUAUAUGGAGGAACACCAGUGGCGAAGGCGGCUCUCUGGUCUGUAACUGACGCUGAGGCUCGAAAGCGUGGGGAGCAAACAGG